AGUCACUGACAUUAGAUACCCGGGUAGUCCCAGCCGUAAACUAUGCGCGUUAGGUGUAUCGGUGACCACGAGUUACCGAGGUGCCGAAGGGAAACCGUGAAACGUGCCGCCUGGGAAGUACGGUUGCAAGGCUGAAACUUAAAGGAAUUGGCGGGGAGCACCACAACAGGUGGAGCCUGCGGUUUAAUUGGAUUCAACGCCGGACAUCUCACCGGAUAAGACAGCUGAAUGAUUGUCAAUCUGAAGGUUUUACAUGACUAGCUG
RNAcentral lists this ribosomal RNA (264 nucleotides) under uncultured archaeon. RNAcentral describes it as "partial 16S ribosomal RNA". It matches the Rfam family "Archaeal small subunit ribosomal RNA", at positions 719 to 982 of the family's 1478-position model. The record is from RNAcentral.